AAAAAAGAGUGUUCAGGAAGCAGAGGAGGGAGUUUUGAGUGAUAGCGAACAUACUGUAGAUGAAAGCUGUCGAAGGAGUGAGACGCUGAGAAGCGUCAGCAUUGUCAGAGCAUGUUCAGCCCUCAGGGACAGCCGGGGGCCGGCCGUCAGCCUUUAUUUGGAGAGCAGAAGCUUUUCCACACUACCUGAAAUCAGCUGAGAGGUUAAGUCGUGGUGUGUGCAAGCUGUCAGCAUCAGAUCAUCGUCCUCAAAGUGUGGGGGCAAGAAGGAAAGAUGUCGGGUGCCCCCCGGUGGAGACAGUGUGUACUGUGUGCAAAGUGCUCCCCCCCCUCUCCUUUCAGUGUGUGUUAGUUAAUCACCAUCUGCUGCUGCAGUUAGUUGUAUAGCAAAAGUGGAGAGGAAAGGUGAGUAUUCUCAGUCAACCAAC
Molecule: long non-coding RNA, 427 nt
Organism: Oreochromis aureus
Lineage: Eukaryota; Metazoa; Chordata; Actinopteri; Cichliformes; Cichlidae
Source: Ensembl